Molecule: long non-coding RNA, 468 nt
Filed under: Gossypium raimondii (Peruvian cotton)
Lineage: Eukaryota; Viridiplantae; Streptophyta; Magnoliopsida; Malvales; Malvaceae
Description: long non-coding RNA (GRAI_LNC003815)
Source: RNAcentral
AGGAAGAGAAAAAUAGUAUUCGGCCAAAAGAGAAGAAGAAAGAAAGACAAUAUUUGGCCGCAGAGGAGAGAGGAAAGAACCAAAGGCUAUUCGGCCAAAACAAAAAAAGGGCAUAAAGGGAAAUGUAAAAAAAUAAAACGAACAAACUUGGGAGAUACUUUGAAGUCUUUGCAAGGUUCGACACCAAAAGAAAAAGGAGAAAACAAAAAGGAGAAAACAAAAAUGUUCACCCACACUGAAGCAGACAGAGAGAAAAAUAAAAUAAAAUAAAAACCAACAAUCCCUCAAAAGCUGAAAAUGACCCCAAAACUCCCCCUAGCUAAAUUCUCACACUAAAAAAUCCCCAAACGGCAUAACUUCCCCCUCCUAAUCAAAUUCCUUUAUUUUUUCCUAAAAAUUCUCCCCUUAACCCUCCUUGAUUUUCUCCACCAAUUCUUCCUCAACUCCCUCUCUAUGACCAGUUCAAAC